CGGUAUGUCCAAUCCCGGGCUUUCUGCACCCAACCCCAUAUCCCCAGAAGAGGCUAGAGGGAGAGGGUCCCGAAUCCACAGAGGGCAGGAGAAGCAAUGAACUUGCAGGAGAAUGUCACCAUGGCUAUGGCGGUGGUUACCAUCUUUGCCUCCAUUUACUUCUUCCACAAGGUCCAGAAAUGAGAAGAUCUUAGGACCCUCAGACCUGAAGACCACACUCCUGCCCUAAAUAAUCGGCCUGGCCUCUUGGACUAAAUAAAUGUGACGGGCCUAUCCCGCCUGGUUCCUUU
This 290-nucleotide long non-coding RNA is filed under the name Phascolarctos cinereus (koala). Its description in RNAcentral is "lncRNA (ENSPCIG00000033944.1)". Lineage: Eukaryota; Metazoa; Chordata; Mammalia; Diprotodontia; Phascolarctidae. The record is from RNAcentral.